AGCAGCCGCGGUAAUUCCAGCUCCAAUAGCGUAUAUUAAAGUUGUUGCAGUUAAAAAGCUCGUAGUUGAAUUUCGGGGUCAGUAGGUUGUUCGUGCCACGGGUAUGUACUGGUCUCACUGAUUCCUCCUUCCUGAUGAACCGUAAUGCCAUUAAUUUGGUGUUGCGGGGAAACUGGACUGUUACUUUGAAAAAAUUAGAGUGUUUAAAGCAGGCUAACGCUUGAAUACAUUAGCAUGGAAUAAUGAAAUAGGACGUUCGAUCUUAUUUUGUUUGGUUUCUAGGAUUGACGUAAUGAUUAAUAGGGAUAGUUGGGGGCAUUAGUAUUCAAUUGUCAGAGGUGAAAUUCUUGGAUUUAUCGAAGACUAACUACUGCGAAAGCAUUUGCCAAGGAUGUUUUCAUUAAUCAAAAACGAAAGUUAGGGGAUCGAAGACGAUCAGAUACCGUCGUAGCUUAACCAUAAACUAUGCCGACUAGGGAUCGGAUGAUGUUAAUUUUUUAAUGACUCAUUCGGCGACCUU
Molecule: ribosomal RNA, 520 nt
Filed under: uncultured Glomeromycotina
Lineage: Eukaryota; Fungi; Glomeromycota
Description: SSU rRNA
Rfam family: Eukaryotic small subunit ribosomal RNA
Source: RNAcentral